GAUCCUGGCUCAGGGAUGAACGCUAGCGGCAGGCCUAAUACAUGCAAGUCAAACGGUAAGUUUUCUUCGGAAGACACGAGUGGCGCACGGGUGAGUAACGCGUACGCAAUCUACCUCUAUCAGGGGGAUACACACGGGAAACUGUGGAUAAUCCCGCAUACAAUUCAGAGUUGGCAUCAGCUUUGGAUAAAAGUUACGGCGGAUAGAGAUGAGCGUGCGUCUGAUUAGCUAGUUGGUGAGGUAACGGCUCACCAAGGCGACGAUCAGUAGGGGGCGUGAGAGCGUGAUCCCCCACACGGGUACUGAGACACGGACCCGACUCCUACGGGAGGCAGCAGUAAGGAAUAUUGGUCAAUGGGCGGAAGCCUGAACCAGCCAUGCCGCGUGCGGGAAGAAGGCCCUCUGGGUUGUAAACCGCUUUUGUCAGGGAAGAAUGGAGAGGAUUCAUCCUCUUAGGGACGGUACCUGAAGAAUAAGCACCGGCUAACUCCGUG
RNAcentral lists this ribosomal RNA (494 nucleotides) under uncultured bacterium. RNAcentral's name for it is "bacterial SSU rRNA". It matches the Rfam family "Bacterial small subunit ribosomal RNA", at positions 15 to 507 of the family's 1533-position model. The record is from RNAcentral.